This 253-nucleotide ribosomal RNA is filed under the name uncultured bacterium. RNAcentral's name for it is "partial 16S ribosomal RNA". It matches the Rfam family "Bacterial small subunit ribosomal RNA", at positions 524 to 776 of the family's 1533-position model. The record is from RNAcentral.
UACGUAGGGUGCAAGCGUUGUCCGGAAUUAUUGGGCGUAAAGAGCUCGUAGGCGGUUUGUCGCGUCUGCUGUGAAAACUCGGGGCUUAACCCCGGGCCUGCAGUGGGUACGGGCAGACUAGAGUGCGGUAGGGGAGACUGGAAUUCCUGGUGUAGCGGUGAAAUUCGUAGAUAUUCGGAAGAACACCAGUGGCGAAGGCGGCUCACUGGCCCGGUUCUGACGCUGAGGUGCGAAAGCGUGGGGAGCGAACAGG